CUGAGAUGGUAUCUUUGAAGUGUUCCCUCCAGGCCAGAGUGGAACAGAGCAGGCAUAGGGUCUUCCCUGUACCUGUAGGGCUCUCUAGAAUGCCAUUUACUUUCGUCUGCAGACACUCGAGCACUUUGGCCAUGUACGUCUCCUGGCACUCGUAGGGCUGGAAAGGGAAAUCCACCGUGACGCCCCUCAGCGUGACCCUGGGCAUCGCUGCCGACCGAUCCCUCCCGCACCGCCGUUCG
This 239-nucleotide long non-coding RNA is filed under the name Gallus gallus (chicken). Lineage: Eukaryota; Metazoa; Chordata; Aves; Galliformes; Phasianidae. The record is from RNAcentral.